UACGUAGGGUGCGAGCGUUAAUCGGAAUUACUGGGCGUAAAGCGUGCGCAGGCGGUUUUGUAAGUCAGAUGUGAAAUCCCCGGGCUCAACCUGGGAACUGCGUUUGAAACUAGCGGGCUUGAGUGUGGCAGAGGGGGGUGGAAUUCCACGUGUAGCAGUGAAAUGCGUAGAGAUGUGGAGGAACACCGAUGGCGAAGGCAGCCCCCUGGGUCAACACUGACGCUCAUGCACGAAAGCGUGGGGAGCAAACAGG
RNAcentral lists this ribosomal RNA (253 nucleotides) under uncultured bacterium. RNAcentral describes it as "partial 16S ribosomal RNA". It matches the Rfam family "Bacterial small subunit ribosomal RNA", at positions 524 to 776 of the family's 1533-position model. The record is from RNAcentral.